AUUCUUACCCUGCAGUGGACAUAGCAUGAUUGGCAAGGUGGUUUUCUGAAAGUGAUGCUCACCCAUUGCACUCCAAAUGUGCUGAACCUUGUGAUUCCCCCUAAUGUAGGAAACUCAGGUGUAUAAUCUAUGGUAGUGGAGAACUGCAUUCAUUCUUUCCCCUG
Fukomys damarensis (Damara mole-rat) is the source of this 164-nucleotide small nuclear RNA. Its record names the gene U1. It matches the Rfam family "U1 spliceosomal RNA". Rfam says of the family: U1 is a small nuclear RNA (snRNA) component of the spliceosome (involved in pre-mRNA splicing). Its 5' end forms complementary base pairs with the 5' splice junction, thus defining the 5' donor site of an intron. The record is from Ensembl. Lineage: Eukaryota; Metazoa; Chordata; Mammalia; Rodentia; Bathyergidae.